Molecule: ribosomal RNA, 180 nt
Filed under: uncultured soil bacterium
Lineage: Bacteria
Description: partial 16S ribosomal RNA
Rfam family: Bacterial small subunit ribosomal RNA
Source: RNAcentral
GGCACGGGGGGCCUACGGGAGGCAGCAGUGGGGAAUAUUGGACAAUGGGCGCAAGCCUGAUCCAGCCAUGCCGCGUGAGUGAUGAAGGCCCUAGGGUUGUAAAGCUCUUUUGUGCGGGAAGAUAAUGACGGUACCGCAAGAAUAAGCCCCGGCUAACUUCGUGCCAGCAGCCGCGGUAAU